Long non-coding RNA from Panicum hallii, 1423 nucleotides. RefSeq lists it as uncharacterized. The record is from RefSeq and is a predicted model, not a curated record. The transcript is spliced from 7 exons. NCBI's taxonomy places the organism in Eukaryota, Viridiplantae, Streptophyta, Magnoliopsida, Poales, Poaceae.
AACACCCUCUUCCCCCUACGCGACGCGAACCGCACACUUGAAAUCCCCCCCCCCCCCCUCCUCUCCUCUGAUUUGGGAGCUUUUUCUAUGCAGACAUUAGCAGCUCGUCGUGGGGAGUGACAAUAGCAGGUUUAGAGUUAGAUUGUGGUGCAAGGAGUUUUGUUGAUAGCGGAAGGAUCCUUACUAGAGGAAAAAGCAAACAAGGUUCAAAUAAACAGGGCGUGGGCUCAAUUGUUUUCUGAUGUUUUUGAUGCAAUGGGGAGUGGAAAUCAAAGAGCCCUAAAGAGAGGUGCACAAUAAGGAUAACAUGAGCUCAUCACCUCUUCUUUUAUUGGGUCGGCAGCAGUUUUGCCACUGCACCAUCAGCAGCGUAUGUCAUCAGCUUGGGCAGAUGGAUGGAAAAUUGGCAGAUGUCGCCAAAGAAGGGCAAAAGAGAUUACCGAUGAACUAGCCCAACAUGCUGCUAUUAUGGGAGAAACGGGGGAGUUGUACAAUGAACGGUAUUUGCACAAAGGUGAUUACAGGGAAAUGAUAGAAAUUGGAAUUCAAUGGGUGAUGAGGUAUAUGGGUCAUCCAAGGUAUUUUCAUAAGAUGUUUCGGAUGAGCGUCGAGAUUUUUAUGACACUUUAUGACUUGCUAGUCUCUACCAACGGAUUGACCUCUAACAACAAUGUUUCAUCUAUUGAGUCAUCGGCGACGUUCUUGUGGAUUAUCGGAGGACCACAAUUAUUUUCACAAGCUGAAAAUCAUUUCACUCGGUCGCUUUGGACGGUUCACAUGAAGUUUUAUGAAGUGUUGAAGUGUAUGCGCAAGUUAGGUUCUGCACAUGACACGCGUAUCCUCAAUCAUGCAUUGGCAAAUUUUUCUUACUUUCCCGUGCCUCCUAAAGGAAAAUAUUAUCUUGUGGAUUCGGGUUAUCCAAACUGAAUAGGGUAUCUCGCACCUUACAAAGAAAGCACAUAUCACAUACCCGAAUUUCGGCAUCGUACAGGCCCUCCUCAUGGAAAGUAUGAGGUGUUCAAUUUCUUGCAUUCGUCCCUUCGAAAUGUGAUUGAAAGAUCUUUUGGAGUCUUGAAGCAGAAGUGGCGUACUUUGAAGAGCAUGCCAAGUUUCUCACCUCAUACUCAGAAGCAUAUAAUCAUGGCUUAUUUUGCUUUGUAUAAUUUUAUGUGUGAUAGCAAUUUGCGUGAUAAGAAGUUUGAGAGAUGUGAUGCUGAUGAGCAGUACUUGGUACCAUCUAUAAGUGGCACGGCACAAACAUAAGGAGAUGGGAGAAAAGAUGUAGAGAAUAAGGAUACCAUGAAUAUUAUUCAUGAUAAGAUUGCUAAUGACUUGGUUAGUGCGAGAGGAGGAUAGUUAUGUUGAGAUAUAUCAUAAUUUUAUGAGCCCUUUACCUUGUGUAAUUGCUACAGUUCUAUUUUUG